This 507-nucleotide ribosomal RNA is filed under the name uncultured bacterium. RNAcentral's name for it is "bacterial SSU rRNA". It matches the Rfam family "Bacterial small subunit ribosomal RNA", at positions 29 to 518 of the family's 1533-position model. The record is from RNAcentral.
AUAAACGCUGGCGGCGCACAUAAGACAUGCAAGUCGAACGGAAGUCGUUAUUAAAUGGCGAGAAGAUUAUCAGAUCAAAAUUAAUAACAAUGGCGUUUAGUGGCGGACUGGUGAGUAAUGUAUAAGUAACCUGCCUAUCAGAGGGGAACAACAGUUGGAAACGACUGCUAAUACCGCAUAUGCCAUAAUGAAGACAUCUUCAUAGUGGGAAAGGAGUAAUCCGCUGAUAGAUGGACUUAUAUCUGAUUAGUUAGUUGGUGGGGUAACGGCCUACCAAGACGACGAUCAGUAGCCGGACUGAGAGGUUAAACGGCCACAUUGGGACUGAGAUACGGCCCAGACUCCUACGGGAGGCAGCAGUCGGGAAUAUUGCGCAAUGGAGGAAACUCUGACGCAGUGACGCCGCGUGCAGGAAGAAGGUUUUCGGAUUGUAAACUGCUUUAGACAGGGAAGAACAAAGACAGUACCUGUAGAAUAAGCUCCGGCUAACUACGUGCCAGCAGCCGC